Long non-coding RNA from Strigops habroptila (Kakapo), 3532 nucleotides. The record is from Ensembl. NCBI's taxonomy places the organism in Eukaryota, Metazoa, Chordata, Aves, Psittaciformes, Psittacidae.
GGUACUAAUGCCUUGAAUUGCAUGUUUCUAUUAUUAUUCUCUAUUGAGAAAGAGGAAAACUAACCUGAGCUGUAUUUUUGUAUUCAUAGAUAAGUAUCUAAAAGUUUUUAAAAUUUUUUUGAAAUGACAAUAUGACAAAAAUUUUGAAACUAACAACUGCAUAGAAGAUAGCACUUUGAUGUACUCCUGACAUAGAAGGGAAAAACACAACUGCACUCUCUCAGAAAACUUAACAUUUGUUUCUAGAAGUUAGACAGCAAUUUACUUCAUAUAUAGCAAGUGCUGCUUAUUUCAGUGCAGGGAUGUCAUUGAUAGUGUCUUUCCAUUCUGUUGUUGGGAAGAGUAUUUACAUAGCAAUGCUUCCUCUUCAGUUUCUUUUUUCCAUGCCAAAGAGUGUAAUUGAACUGCUAUUGCGAACACAGAGCAAUGUGAAUGUAUUCACCUGAGUGCUUAAACUUUUCUACCUCUCAUAGCUACUUUAACUGCUUGAACUGCCAAUACUGUCAAAACUGACCAUAGUCAAAAGAACUGAAUCCCUGUGAGAAUUUAAAUCCUGUUUUCUUAGAUAGGUAAAGGAAUUAGGAUUAAACACUUAUUAGUUUCCUGUCAGAUCCUAGUUCCUAAAAAAUGGGCAUAUGCACCCAAGAAGGGUGAAUAGCACUUUGAUGUGUCACAGAAUGAUUCUUUUUAAUUUUUUUUUUUUUUUCACCAAAACAAAAAGCCACAACUGUGAUUUGUUAGAUGUGGAAGGUUAUAUGUUACCCAAAAGGCUGCAUUUCAUAGGGGUGGCAGAAAGUGAUGAGCUACUUGUUAAAAUGCGUGUAAUUUUCCCUCCCAAACCCCUGCCACUGCAAUAACUGCGAGGCACAGAUUUAAUCUCCCCCUCUGCCUUGGGAGACACAAGCGUCCAUUUGCACAGCAAAUGCUGCUAUCAUGUUGUUAUCCUGGAUCCCCCUCAAAUCCUCCUGUGGAAGCUCUUCUACUUGGUUUGAAAUUCCUAAAUAGCAAUGUUUUACCCUGGUGUAUCUGGCGUUUAUAAAGGAGAUAAAGUACUUGGCAGUAAGAGCUGCACACUGAAAGAGUUUGAAUUAUUUGCAUAUGGUGAAAACCCAAUUUUAGAAGCUUUUGUUCCCCCUUUCCAUUUGACUAUGUUGUAAGGUGAGGGUUGAGAGAACCUGCCAGGAGGUGGGAAUGAAGAUUCUUUGUUGCUGUGAUCUCAGGUGAUUUCUCGCACAGGUGGGUGAACAGUCCUGUGACAAAAUUACUCUCUAUCUACUCCUCAUUUUCCCUUCUUUUCCACCAAGAUUUGGACAAGUUUGGCUCCAGUUUGUAUGCAGGUCUGAAGAGUAUUUAUGAAUGUCAGAAAAAUUGCAGCUCCUAUGUAAAAAAAAUAUGAACAAGUGUUGCAGAUUUUCCCUGUUCUCAGUUGGGGUAUGACGUCAAACCCUUCCUUUUACAUAAGACAGGCCUGAUUCAGAUGACAUGCUGCUCUAGAAGGUUCCUAAGGCUGGUGCCAGCAGUCCCUCAAGGAACCUGGUGGAGUUAGAGGAGUGCUAUGUUAAAUCAUGGAUUUUAAGGCACAGAAAUAUUUGAAAAUCAUCUUAUGAUUAUCAAAUUAUGAUACCCCACAUAACACAGCCCAGAGUUUUUCACCCUCUCACUCCUGCAGCAGAGGGAAUUAUUAUUUUUCCAUGUUAACACUGUGAAGUCCAAUAGCUUGUCUCUGAGAUACAGCAUAUCUUUCUGCAACACAUGGGAUCUUGAUUGCGCCAGUUAACCCAUUCCAUUUUCUAGACUGCUGCAACAGUUUUAACCAUCAUUGUUAAAACAGUGUUCUACAUUUGACUUUAAAAGGUGCUAGCUAUCUCCUUAUUAAACCACAGUUUUCUAGAUUUGAAAGCAGUCCUUUUGCUAAAUGGUGCCUCUGUGCUGAAUAGCGUCCUUCCAGGGGAAGGACCACGACAUUGGAGUCCACAGCCAGUGCAGACUGAUGGUAUCAAAAUAAUUCUGGUAAAAUAUUCAUUUUACAUAAAAAUUACAUAAAAAAUUACUCUGAAUACAUAAAAAAUUACUCUGAAUAAAACUAUUGCUGGUUUUCAGCCCGAGUUACACAAUUGAGAAAUCAGUAUAUUGUGGUCUGAAGUACACUCCUAGGAGAUUUUUGAAGAUUUAUAAACAAGGCAAAACAACAACAACAACAAACUCCAGCAGUUCCACUGACACCUCCUUCCCCUGGAUCCCUCAAUUGCCAAAAACAUUCCUGCAGCCUUCACAGAGGGUUUUAUCACUAUCAAGCUGAUCAAGCCUUAUUUCUCACAUCUCUUCCUACUGAGGACAAGGACUGCUGAGGGGACUGGAGAGUGCCAUAAACUAGAACAGAAACAGCUAGUUAGGAGAAGUGUCAGUGCAUUUCCUAUGAGGGAUUUUGGCUUUCAGGCUGCGAUAUAAGGGACCCAGCAUGGCAGUGCCUAUUGCUUGCAGCCUGCUUAUAGGGCUUCACAAACUGCAGAGCACCUCCUUGAAGUAUGUGUUAGCCUAAACUCUGCUUCCAGAGAGAGCCACUUGUGUCAGCUGUGCAGAUUAUCUAUUGCAAAGGUGCUGGCAUUACCACCAGGUUUGAAGGGGCUGCUUUGGAAACCUCUUCUUUCCGUGUUGGCAGAUCCAGAUACCCUGCAGCUGGCCAUUUGCCCUAUGUAGCUUGUGGCUUGUGUGGGGAAGGAGACACUGUUCUCAAAUCUCACAGACUUGCCGCUUUUGAAAGUAGCUCAUUAAAAUCCAUUGUUUUAAAAGGUUUGGGAUUUUUGUGUGGUACCACCUGCAAAGAUCUGAAGCAGAUCUUUCUUGUUUAUGGCAGUGCAGCCUCUCUGAAAUGUAUGUCCUCUGAUUUAUGUAUUUGUUAGCUACUGUCUCUUCUUAUAGCCAUGUGGGAAAAGCUUUAUGAGUUGAGCUUAACUAUUGAGUUUUGUUGAUAAACAGGUCCCUGUAAGUGGUAUUUGGGGACAAAACUGAUCACUUUUUCAUAAUUUUUUUUUUUUUAACCAUUGAAAGCAGUAGGGGGGCAGAUCCUUUGCUGGUGUAUAUUGCUUUUCUUUGUAAGCCAUGCCAGAGCCACACCAGUCCACACAAGCUGAGGGUAUAGCCUGGUCUGUUUUGAAUAUUAUCUCUCUUGAUUUGUAUAGUCUUUUGCAGUGUAACGACUGCUGAUUUGGAGCUUUAAUUGCCUGAAUUUGACAAAACCAGAACUGGAGUGAGGUUUACUAUUGUUUUGAUACAGUCUCAAAAGGGAAGCUUUUUACUAGCAUUUUAAUAUAGCCUUUUGUAAACACCUGGCAAAUAAAAAUUCUGAGUCCAAUCCUUCUGCUAAUGGAGUCACUUUGGCUUUACUAGAAGCUGGACUGGGUUCAGUAUAAGUGAUACACUCUUGUGUUACUGAUAAUGAGUUAAGGUGUUUUAUAUAUGGAUGCUUUUUGCUGGGCAGUACAUUGGCUUUUUAUGAUUUGGUGAUAUAUACAAAUAAAUUACUUGAAAAGUC